RNAcentral lists this small RNA (321 nucleotides) under Pan troglodytes (chimpanzee). Its description in RNAcentral is "processed transcript". The record is from RNAcentral. Lineage: Eukaryota; Metazoa; Chordata; Mammalia; Primates; Hominidae.
GGACAAGAUGGCGGCGGCAGCUGUACAGGGCGGGAGAAGCGGUGGUAGCGGAGGCUGUAGUGGGGCUGGUGGUGCUUCCAACUGCGGGACAGGAAGUGGCCGUAGCGGCUUGUUGGAUAAGGUUUGAUGACAAAUACACCUUGAAGCUGACCUUCAUCAGUGGGAGAACAAAGCAGCAGCGGGAAGCCGAGUUCACAAAGUCCAUUGCUAAGUUUUUUGACCACAGUGGGACACUGGUCAUGGAUGCAUAUGAGCCUGAAAUAUCCAGGCUCCAUGACAGUCUUGCCAUAGAAAGAAAAACAAAGUAGCCAAUUCUAAAAG